RNAcentral lists this ribosomal RNA (220 nucleotides) under Mesorhizobium sp. RNAcentral's name for it is "partial 23S ribosomal RNA". It matches the Rfam family "Bacterial large subunit ribosomal RNA", at positions 2063 to 2282 of the family's 2925-position model. The record is from RNAcentral. Lineage: Bacteria; Pseudomonadati; Pseudomonadota; Alphaproteobacteria; Hyphomicrobiales; Phyllobacteriaceae.
GGAGUACCCGCGGCUAGACGGAAAGACCCCGUGCACCUUUACUAUAGCUUUGCAGUGGCGUUAGGAAUGACAUGUGUAGGAUAGGUGGGAGGCUUUGAAGCCCAGGCGCCAGCUUGGGUGGAGCCACCCUUGAAAUACCACCCUUGUUGUUCUUGACGUCUAACCGAGCCCCGUGAUCCGGGGCCGGGACCCUGCAUGGCGGGUAGUUUGACUGGGGCGG